This 465-nucleotide ribosomal RNA is filed under the name Vreelandella stevensii. Its description in RNAcentral is "partial 16S ribosomal RNA". It matches the Rfam family "Bacterial small subunit ribosomal RNA", at positions 338 to 795 of the family's 1533-position model. Lineage: Bacteria; Pseudomonadati; Pseudomonadota; Gammaproteobacteria; Oceanospirillales; Halomonadaceae. The record is from RNAcentral.
CCUACGGGAGGCUGCAGUGGGGAAUAUUGGACAAUGGGCGAAAGCCUGAUCCAGCCAUGCCGCGUGUGUGAAGCAGGCCUUCGGGUUGUAAAGCACUUUCAGUGGGGAAGAAAGCCUUGGGGCUAAUACCCUCGAGGAAGGACAUCACCCACAGAAGAAGCACCGGCUAACUCCGUGCCAGCAGCCGCGUUAAUACGGAGGGUGCGAGCGUUUAUCGGAAUUACUGGGCGUAAAGCGCGCGUAGGCGGUCUGAUAAGCCGGUUGUGAAAGCCCCGGGCUCAACCUGGGAACGGCAUCCGGAACUGUCAGGCUAGAGUGCAGGAGAGGAAGGUAGAAUUCCCGGUGUAGCGGUGAAAUGCGUAGAGAUCGGGAGGAAUACCAGUGGCGAAGGCGGCCUUCUGGACUUACACUGACGCUGAGGUGCGAAAGCGUGGGUAGCAAACAGGAUUAGAUACCCCUGUAGUC